This 277-nucleotide ribosomal RNA is filed under the name uncultured bacterium. RNAcentral describes it as "partial 16S ribosomal RNA". It matches the Rfam family "Bacterial small subunit ribosomal RNA", at positions 28 to 286 of the family's 1533-position model. The record is from RNAcentral.
GAUGAACGCUGGCGGCGUGCUUAACACAUGCAAGUCGAACAGGAAACAUUUUAUUGAAGCUUCGGCAGAUUUAGUUUGUUUCUAGUGGCGGACGGGUGAGUAACGCGCGGGUAACCUGCCUCACACUGGGGGAUAACAGUCAGAAAUGACUGCUAAUACCGCAUAAGCGCACGAGACCGCAUGGUUUUGUAGUGAAAAACUCCGGUAGGUGUGAGAUGGACCCGCGUUGGAUUAGCCAGUUGGCAGGGUAACGGCCUACCAAAGCGACGAUCCGAUA